RNAcentral lists this ribosomal RNA (301 nucleotides) under uncultured bacterium. RNAcentral's name for it is "partial 16S ribosomal RNA". It matches the Rfam family "Bacterial small subunit ribosomal RNA", at positions 509 to 808 of the family's 1533-position model. The record is from RNAcentral.
CAGCCGCCGCGGUAAUACGUAGGUCCCGAGCGUUGUCCGGAUUUAUUGGGCGUAAAGGGAGCGCAGGCGGUUUAGUAAGUCUGAAGUUAAAGGCAUUGGCUCAACCAAUGUAUGCUUUGGAAACUGUUAGACUUGAGUGCAGAAGGGGAGAGUGGAAUUCCAUGUGUAGCGGUGAAAUGCGUAGAUAUAUGGAGGAACACCGGUGGCGAAAGCGGCUCUCUGGUCUGUCACUGACGCUGAGGCUCGAAAGCGUGGGUAGCGAACAGGAUUAGAUACCCGUGUAGUCCCUGUCUCUUAUACA